RNAcentral lists this unclassified non-coding RNA (655 nucleotides) under Hevea brasiliensis (rubber tree). Lineage: Eukaryota; Viridiplantae; Streptophyta; Magnoliopsida; Malpighiales; Euphorbiaceae. The record is from RNAcentral.
GAGUAGCCCACCCACCAACCUACCUGUUAACAGAAAACAGAAAAUUGUGCUCAAAACUUCAAAACCUAUAAUAUAUUAGUUCGUGUUUGGUAUAAUGUAAUCAUUCAAUUGAACUUAUCCAAUUGUCUCAGUGACAAUACCAGCAAAAAUCACAAUAUCCUAAAUUUUUGGCACAAAAGCAUGAAAAUUCAAAUCUAACUCACUUCCAUGCUAAUCCAACAAGUUUCCACCGGCCGUAUCAAUUGAAUAGAGGUAAAUUAACAAGAAGCAAUCUUUUAUCAUACAUUGAAAAGGUGUUGGCCAUAGUUUACUGGUAAGUAUGCUGUGUAAGAAGUGCUGAUAUGCACUAGAAGCUCACAAAACCAGUCCUUAGUUAUUGAUUAAACAUAAAAACUCAGAAAAGUAGUGCCUCUGGAAAAGGGAGUUUAUAUGAGCUGUGGGGCCAAAGUGGAACCACAAAACUUUAAUCAAAUCAACAAAUCUCGCCUGAAUUGGGGUUCCUUAUUCACCUUAUGCUAUAUAUGUUACCAAUCUUUGCCUUUCUGCCUUACUGGCCAAGAAAGCAAAUCAAGAAUUUCACUAAAAACUUGAAAGUAGGUAACAAUUAAAUGGAGAAAUGAGAUUAUAGUGACUAGGGGCUAUUCUAAUUACCAAU